Molecule: ribosomal RNA, 276 nt
Filed under: uncultured prokaryote
Description: partial 16S ribosomal RNA
Rfam family: Bacterial small subunit ribosomal RNA
Source: RNAcentral
UACGUAGGGGCGAGCGUUAUCCGGAAUUAUUGGGCGUAAAGAGUACGUAGGUGGUAACUUAAGCAUGGGGUUUAAGGCAAUGGCUUAACUAUUGUUCGCCUCAUGAACUGGGCUACUUGAGUGCUGGAGAGGAAAGCGGAAUUCCUAGUGUAGCGGUGAAAUGCGUAGAUAUUAGGAGGAACACCAGUGGCGAAGGCGGCUUUCUGGACAGUAACUGACACUGAGGUACGAAAGUGUGGGUAGCAAACAGGAUUAGAUACCCUGGUAGUCCCUGAG